This 253-nucleotide ribosomal RNA is filed under the name uncultured bacterium. RNAcentral describes it as "partial 16S ribosomal RNA". It matches the Rfam family "Bacterial small subunit ribosomal RNA", at positions 524 to 776 of the family's 1533-position model. The record is from RNAcentral.
UACGUAGGGUGCAAGCGUUGUCCGGAAUUAUUGGGCGUAAGGAGCUCGUAGGCGGUCUGUCGCGUCGAAUGUGAAAACCCGGGGCUCAACCCCGGGCCUGCAUUCGAUACGGGCAGACUAGAGUUCGGUAGGGGAGUCUGGAAUUCCUGGUGUAGCGGUGAAAUGCGCAGAUAUCAGGAGGAACACCGGUGGCGAAGGCGGGUCUCUGGGACGUAACUGACGCUGAGACGCGAAAGCGUGGGGAGCAAACAGG